RNAcentral lists this ribosomal RNA (429 nucleotides) under Pseudomonadota bacterium. RNAcentral describes it as "Proteobacteria bacterium partial 16S ribosomal RNA". It matches the Rfam family "Bacterial small subunit ribosomal RNA", at positions 355 to 776 of the family's 1533-position model. Lineage: Bacteria; Pseudomonadati; Pseudomonadota. The record is from RNAcentral.
UGGGGAAUAUUGGACAAUGGGGGGAACCCUGAUCCAGCCAUGCCGCGUGUGUGAAGAAGGUCUUCGGAUUGUAAAGCACUUUAAGUUGGGAGGAAGGGCAGUAAGCGAAUACCUUGCUGUUUUGACGUUACCGACAGAAUAAGCACCGGCUAACUCUGUGCCAGCAGCCGCGGUAAUACAGAGGGUGCAAGCGUUAAUCGGAAUUACUGGGCGUAAAGCGCGCGUAGGUGGUUCGUUAAGUUGAAUGUGAAAGACCCGGGCUCAACCUGGGAACUGCAUCCAAAACUGGCGAGCUAGAGUAGGGCAGAGGGUGGUGGAAUUUCCUGUGUAGCGGUGAAAUGCGUAGAUAUAGGAAGGAACACCAGUGGCGAAGGCGACCACCUGGGCUCAUACUGACACUGAGGUGCGAAAGCGUGGGGAGCAAACAGG